Molecule: ribosomal RNA, 289 nt
Filed under: Peribacillus muralis
Lineage: Bacteria; Bacillati; Bacillota; Bacilli; Caryophanales; Bacillaceae
Description: Bacillus muralis partial 16S ribosomal RNA
Rfam family: Bacterial small subunit ribosomal RNA
Source: RNAcentral
GAAUUAUUGGGCGUAAAGCGCGCGCAGGUGGUUCUUUAAGUUUGAUGUGAAAGCCCACGGCUCAACCGUGGAGGGUCAUUGGAAACUGGGGAACUUGAGUGCAGAAGAGGAAAGUGGAAUUCCAAGUGUAGCGGUGAAAUGCGUAGAGAUUUGGAGGAACACCAGUGGCGAAGGCGACUUUCUGGUCUGUAACUGACACUGAGGCGCGAAAGCGUGGGGAGCAAACAGGAUUAGAUACCCUGGUAGUCCACGCCGUAAACGAUGAGUGCUAAGUGUUAGAGGGUUUCCG